Molecule: ribosomal RNA, 439 nt
Filed under: uncultured bacterium
Lineage: Bacteria
Description: partial 16S ribosomal RNA
Rfam family: Bacterial small subunit ribosomal RNA
Source: RNAcentral
CCUACGGGUGGCAGCAGUGGGGAAUAUUGCACAAUGGGGGAAACCCUGAUGCAGCGACGCCGCGUGAGCGAAGAAGUAUUUCGGUAUGUAAAGCUCUAUCAGCAGGGAAGAAAAUGACGGUACCUGAGUAAGAAGCUCCGGCUAAAUACGUGCCAGCAGCCGCGGUAAUACGUAUGGAGCAAGCGUUCUCCGGAUUUACUGGGCUUAAAGGGAGCGUAGGCGGGCGUUCAAGUCAGCUGUAAAAUCGCGCGGCUCAACCGCGCCCCGCAGUUGAAACUGGACGCCUUGAGUUCACAACAGGCAGGCGGAAUUCGUGGUGUAGCGGUGAAAUGCAUAGAUAUCACGAGGAACCCCGAUUGCGAAGGCAGCCUGCCGGGGUGCGACUGACGCUGAGGCUCGAAGGUGCGGGUAUCAAACAGGAUUAGAUACCCCAGUAGUC